AUUGAACGCUGGCGGCAGGCCUAACACAUGCAAGUCGAACGAGCGGCGGACGGGUGAGUAAUGUCUGGGAAACUGCCUGAUGGAGGGGGAUAACUACUGGAAACGGUAGCUAAUACCGCAUACUAUCGGAUGUACCCAGAUGGGAUUAGCUAGUAGGUGGGGUAAAGGCGCACCUAGGCGACGAUCCCUAGCUGGUCUGAGAGGAUGACCAGCCCAACGGGGACUGAGACACGGUCCAGACUCCUACGGGAGUCAGCAGUGGGGAAAAUUGCACAAUGGUCGCAAGCCUGAUGCAGCCAUGCCGCGUGUAUGAAGAAGGCCUUAGGGUUGUAAAGUACGUUCAGCGGGUAGGCGUUACCCGCAGAAGAAGCACCGGCUAACUCCGUGCCAGCAGCCGCGGUAAUAC
Molecule: ribosomal RNA, 406 nt
Filed under: uncultured bacterium
Lineage: Bacteria
Description: partial 16S ribosomal RNA
Rfam family: Bacterial small subunit ribosomal RNA
Source: RNAcentral